RNAcentral lists this ribosomal RNA (492 nucleotides) under uncultured bacterium. RNAcentral describes it as "bacterial SSU rRNA". It matches the Rfam family "Bacterial small subunit ribosomal RNA", at positions 40 to 507 of the family's 1533-position model. The record is from RNAcentral.
CGGCGUGCCUAACACAUGCAAGUCGUACGAGAAAGCCGGCUUCGGCUGGUGAGUAAAGUGGCGCACGGGUGAGUAACGCGUGGAUAAUCUGCCCUUAAGUGUGGAAUAACGUACCGAAAGGUGCGCUAAUACCGCAUAAUGCCUGGCAACACAAGUUGUCCGGCCAAAGAAGGCCUCUGUUUACAAGCUUUCGCUUCAGGAUGAGUCCGCGUACCAUUAGCUUGUUGGUGGGGUAAUGGCCUACCAAGGCUGCGAUGGUUAGCUGGUCUGAGAGGAUGAUCAGCCACACUGGAACUGAGACACGGUCCAGACUCCUACGGGAGGCAGCAGUGAGGAAUAUUGCGCAAUGGGGGCAACCCUGACGCAGCAACGCCGCGUGAGUGAGGAAGGUUUUCGGACUGUAAAGCUCUGUCGAGCGGGAAGAAGUGUACCAUGGGCUAAUAUCCAUGAUAUUUGACGGUACCGCUAGAGGAAGCACCGGCUAACUCCGUG